RNAcentral lists this long non-coding RNA (4949 nucleotides) under Paramuricea clavata. Lineage: Eukaryota; Metazoa; Cnidaria; Anthozoa; Malacalcyonacea; Plexauridae. The record is from RNAcentral.
UUUUAAAUUUUUUUACCGCGUGGUGAAGAAGCAAGGAAGAAAAAUGGAGGACAUUUUUUUAUCAAACUUAAUACCUUUAUUGGAAGCUCUGUUGGAAGGUAAUAUGCUUUAUUUAAUAUCAAUCCUUGUCGUAGAGUACUUAGAUUGCCAAUAUAGAUGGAAAUUUAGGACAUCGAGCCCGAAUUUAAUGCGAUAUUUCGGCAUAAAGUUUGUGCUUUUUCUUUGCUGCCUUUGCACGUGGUGCGUUUGUCGAACUUUAAACCGUGUUUUAAUUCAUAAUUAUUGUCGACCAAUUGAGUAAAAAGACUAAAUAACAUCUAGAAUUGUUUAAGUUGUCGAAAAAAGUUGUUAUUUCUGAGUUAUUGCCAAAAAUUUUUAUAUUUAUAAUGCCAUAUAUUAAAAAGAGAGGAGGCGCUUCAAUGGUGAGACGAAUAUUUCAAUUCAUCAGCUUGUACAUGCAUUUCAAUCUUACGACAAAAUAUUUCAACGUUAUAUAAUUAUGUUGUGUUUGUUCAACAUUACAACGUAUUUGAUUCUUGCUUGCAAAGCAAAGAUAAUUAAAAAUAUUUGUGUUUCUUUACCUCACUGUCACAGCUGGUUUGAAUUUUGAUAGGUGGGGCUUUUCGGUAAGCGGGCUAGUAAGAUUAAGGCCCCGUUGAGACCGGGACGAAGUCAAACUGGAAUGAAAAUUGAAAUUGUCAACAUGUUUACAUGAGACUGGAACGAAAAUUGCAAAAUUUUCAAUUUAUUCCCCUUGCCAGGCAAUUUUCUUUUUUAGAUGGUUUUUGUUAGCAUGUGUUGUUCCAAUGUCAAGGUUACAGCCGAGACCCGUCUGAAAUGUAUUUGUGUUUACAUUCAUCCCGGUCUGAAGUCAGUCGGCUCGAUCCAGCAGGUGGAAUGACUUGAGACCUGUCUGAGUUAUUUUUGUCCAGGUGUCAUGUAAACAUCUAUUAUAAAUAAUACUAUAACCGAAACGAAAUAGUCCCGGUUUGACUUUGUUCCGGUCUCAUGUAAAUGGGGUCUUUAGAAUUUAAAGUUCGUAGGCUGAGCAUGGUUUGAAAAGUAGCAGUGUAAAGCCUUUUUUCAACAUGGGCUGGGCUGGCUGGCAAGGAUUCAGAGAGUGCUAAACAAAUAGAAAGGACAGUAUUUGUUAAAUUUAAAAGCAUAUUAACUUGAUUUACUGGUACAGCAGAUGCCUGGAGUCAAAAUGAAGUUGAAAAAAAACUUCCAAUCAAAUUCUAUCAGUUGGCAUUGUCACAACAUAAUAUAAACAUUUCAAGAAGCAAUAACUGUGGUAAACAACCCAACAUCUAGAAAAAAAACAUUAGAGCAAAGAAAAUAUGAUUUUUUCAUCCCGCUAGCCAAGCUAUUCACACCCUCAGUAAAAUUCUCAUAAAUUUUUGUAGAUGUACAAUGCAAGUUCCAAGAAUGUCACAAGAUCUCAUGAUUAUCAAAAUUUAUUGUACACAUUCCAAGAUCCUGAAUAAGAGGUAAACUAGGUUACCCACAGGGCAGUAAUGCUUCCUUUGACAGCAAAAGACAAACUACAGGGUGUUGAACGAGUCCUUCAGAAACAUCCUAUUAUUGUUUAGCCUGCAUGGCAGGCGGUUCCUAAAAUUGGGCAAGCCUGGGAAAUACCGCCUGCCAUACGGGCUAAUUAUUGUUAUCCUUGUAACCCAUUUAUUGACAGUACCCUACCACUGACUGAGUAUUAAAAAUCGUGUGGCGUUGGACAGGGUAAAUACUAAAGUAGGGGUCAUUACUGUGCUGAUGAAUUAACAAGAGCCAUUGGCAGAUAGGUUUGUUAAUCCAUUUACUGGCAGUACCCUAUACCACUGACGAGUAAAAUCUUCUGGCGCUCAACAAGGGAAGGGUGCAUUGCCAGCUAAUGGGUUAAACCACCGUGGUUAAACAUAAAAUUUCAUGAUGCUCCAGGAAAUGUAAACAAGCUAUCAGUGUGACAUCCCAGUUUAUAUAUUUAUAUACUCGGAAUAUUGAUUUCUCGGUAUAUACAAAAUUAUUUUAAAGUAUAACAACCAGCGAAGACGUAAGGCACUAACUACCCUGCGCGGCUGCGCGCAGACUAUAUAACGACAUAUAUAUGUCAUCCGUCCGGUCCGUCCGUCAUUCAUCUGUCCGUCCAUAUCCGCGUUUUAUCCUAACCCGUUUUUAAAACACAAAGUUUGCAUUUAAUUAAGGCAGUGCGGUUCGUCAUGAUCAAUAUUUUCAAAAGUGGCCAAUUAGACGAGGGGUUAAAGGGCAAAGACAAUGACAUGCAGGUGACAUUUAACAUUGCGUCUCACUAAUUAAAAUUUGCGUGUUUAAUAGUGUUUAUCAAAGCACAGUUAAUUCCUAUUUCUAUUAACUGUGAUCAAAGAAAGCAAAAAUAUAUACAAGACAAUCUCACAUGUGGAGUUUUUUCACUUACAGUACGUACUGCCUUGUGAUGCAGUACAAGUAUAAAUACAAAUGACAAAGCAUUUGUAAAUCCUAAAACAUAAUUAAAUCAUACGGCACAUUUAAGAUUUUAAUAUCGUAUUUCAGCCGCGUUUAUACUGUUUGGUGCAUUCGCUGCGUUAUAUUAAUUUACAUGUAGGCUAUAUACACAGAAAAGCAUGUCAUUGUCCUUGCAGACCAUAGGCAAAAAGCAUUUGUCAACCAUGCACAUACCAAAUUUAAGCAAUCGUUAAAUCAUAUACAUGUCAUGGAAAGAAUAUGGAAAUAAUGUUGAAUGAAAGCUAGUAUCGCGUAUUAAUAUUAAAAGCACCGCAUAUAGUGCUCGAACCACUGCGUAUAAUUGCAAAAGCAUCGUGUAUAUAAAUGGUGAAAGCACCGCGUAUAAUACUGGAACCACCGCGUAUAAUGGCGAAAGCACCGUGUAUAAUGCCAAAAGCACCGGCGUAUAAUGCUAAAAGCACCCAACACAAUGCCGUUUGAUCACUUUAAGCCAGCUAUGGCUUUCCAUAAAAGAAGACCAAAGAUGAAACAUGAUCACAUUGCCUGUUUGCCAUAUUGCCUGACCGCGCUGCACCACGGUUAAAAUUCACUGGUACCGUCAUGCAAUGCACCAAAUAGAAAAUUUUGAUUUCGACCCACAAAACAAAAUUAGGAUCUGCUGCCUUGCUCGCUCGCUUCAGGCUCGCUCGCUGCGGCAGCAAUUAUUUUUCUUCUAAUUGUUUCUAACCUUCUCCUUGUAUUUUUUUGACAAUUUUCUUUGUAAUAUAUUAAUUUGUUUCAUGUUCUUAAUGGUGAGUUUUUUUAAUUUUCUAGAUGUGUGUUGCAAUUUCAAAGAAUGUCUCAAGUUGUUGGCCGAAGUGAUUUUGAUCUCAAAAGUGAAUGCUGUCAUUGGAAAGUAUAUAUAAAAGGUCUUAAUAUUUUCCUGUCUUAUCUUGCAUGAAAUGUUUUGAACAUUAUAUGAUUGCUUGUGAUCAAUAGUUUCAAAAAAUCCCAGUAGAAUAUUGCAAAAAUAGCAUGACCAUGUUACUUUUAUGACAAAAUAACAACAAAAAUAAUAAACACAAUCUUUACGCCUAAAUAUGGCGAGUGCUCAAUAAUUGCAUUUUUUUAUUCUAUUAGUAAUUUGGAAAAUUUCUUGUGACUUGUAUUAAUUUGGAAAAUUUCAGUUUUGUGGUCCCUCGAUUACUUGAUUAAUUUUCGUGUCACUGAUCACAAAAAUUAUAUAAUUUUCAAAGCAUAUAAACAUAUGGGCAAGCCAGAAAAUGACAAACUCUCUGUGUUUUAAAAAAAAUUGUUUAAUUAAACAGUGAUGAUUUUGAGUUUAUCUGUGUUCUAUCUGAGAACAUAGUUGUUUCUACAUAUUUUCGAAGUUUUUGUCAAAUGUAACAAAAAAUGAAAAGUUUGUCAGUAUUUGGCUUUGUUACAUCAGUUAAACAUUGAGAAGAUUGAUGUGGUUUUUAUUACAAACCACUUUGGUUUCUUACAAACAAAUAAGACAUGUGACUUAGUCAUCUUUCAUGUUUUGGUAUUAAUUUGGAAUAUGUUUUAAAGGAUUAAAAGAACAUUGAUGAACAUUUGUCUCAUCAUAAUUUGUGUUUUGAACUUGUCAAAGUGCAAUUGUAAAAACAGUAAGCUUGCAUCCCAUCUCAAUCUUCUCUUGUUUAAGUGGACUUUCAGUGUUUGUUGAAAGUUUGGAAAGUUUGUCUGAAAAUCACAAUCUUUCAUUCAAUGUUGAUUCUGGAGGUUUUCAAAUAUUGAAUCUUACAAAAAGCAAUUAGUGAUCAAUUGAAGUAUACAAUACUUUUAAAAUUAGCACUGUUAGAACUGCCUUGUUGUUUAAUAGUCCUGUCUUAUUUAUCCCAGCACACUCUUAAUACAUGAGUUUGAUUAUUCCUGGAUGCAAAUAAAAUGGAUUUGUUGAAGAACAAAGCAGUUUUAUACACUACUGACUUAUGGGAGGGUUGUGUUCUUCAGUUGUUUUUUUUUCUGAUUCUAGUGCCAACCACAUUGUGGUUUUAACAAAAUUUGAAUUUUGGAACAAACUUUGUGAUUUUUAAAAAACCUUUCCCAACUUUAAAAAACAAACAGUUAAGGUCGAAAUAAUUAGCUAGGAUAUGUUGUCUUUACUUAUAAUUACAAAGUGGAACUUAUUUGGAUAUGGGUGAACUGAAGCAGCAAACUAUACUUAAUUUUGGGGUAAUGUGAGAUGGAGAAAAUAACAUUAAAGUAAUCAGCAAUGGCGGAAAAACAAUCAGCAAUGAAAAGUAUAUAUUACAGUAAUUGUUUGGUAAAGCCAUCCAAUAAUUGGAAUAUUGAGGCUGAAGAUAAGAUUGACAAUUCUUGGUCCUACAUGUAUGUGUUAAUCAAUGCAUAAUUUGAUAAGAUUUGAAUGAAAAUUCAAGCAUGGAACUAGCCAUAUUUUUAGUAUUCAUCAAAAUUUGUGUGUGUUUCAUCAAACACAAGAUAUGCAAUAGCCAAUACUGAGAUGCUCU